UGGGGAACAUUGCACAAUGGAGGGAACUCUGAUGCAGCGACGCCGCGUGAACGAAGAAGGCUUUCGAGUCGUAAAGUUCUUUUAUAUGGGAAGAUAAUGACGGUACCAUAAGAAAAAGCCCCGGCUAACUACGUGCCAGCAGCCGCGGUAAUACGUAGGGGGCUAGCGUUGUCCGGAAUCACUGGGCGUAAAGGGUUCGCAGGCGGAAAUGCAAGUCAGGUGUAAAAGGCAGUAGCUUAACUACUGUAAGCAUUUGAAACUGCAUAUCUUGAGAAGAGUAGAGGUAAGUGGAAUUUUUAGUGUAGCGGUGAAAUGCGUAGAUAUUAAAAAGAAUACCGGUGGCGAAGGCGACUUACUGGGCUCAUUCUGACGCUGAGGAACGAAAGCGUGGGUAGCAAACAGG
Molecule: ribosomal RNA, 403 nt
Filed under: Fusobacteriota bacterium
Lineage: Bacteria; Fusobacteriati; Fusobacteriota
Description: Fusobacteria bacterium partial 16S ribosomal RNA
Rfam family: Bacterial small subunit ribosomal RNA
Source: RNAcentral